This 433-nucleotide ribosomal RNA is filed under the name uncultured bacterium. RNAcentral's name for it is "partial 16S ribosomal RNA". It matches the Rfam family "Bacterial small subunit ribosomal RNA", at positions 29 to 507 of the family's 1533-position model. The record is from RNAcentral.
AACGAACGCUGGCGGCAGGCCUAACACAUGCAAGUCGAGCGAGGACUUCGGUCCUAGCGGCGGACGGGUGAGUAACGCGUGGGAACGUGCCCUUUGCUUCGGAAUAGCCCUGGGAAACUGGGAGUAAUACCGGAUGAGCCCUUUGGGGGAAAGAUUUAUCGGCGAAGGAUCGGCCCGCGUUGGAUUAGGUAGUUGGUGGGGUAAUGGCCUAUCAAGCCGACGAUCCAUAGCUGGUUUGAGAGGAUGAUCAGCCACACUGGGACUGAGACACGGCCCAGACUCCUACGGGAGGCAGCAGUGGGGAAUCUUAGACAAUGGGGGAAACCCUGAUCUAGCCAUGCCGCGUGAGCGAUGAAGGCCUUAGGGUUGUAAAGCUCUUUCAGCUGGGAAGAUAAUGACGGUACCAGCAGAAGAAGCCCCGGCUAACUCCGUG